RNAcentral lists this ribosomal RNA (425 nucleotides) under uncultured bacterium. RNAcentral describes it as "partial 16S ribosomal RNA". It matches the Rfam family "Bacterial small subunit ribosomal RNA", at positions 354 to 796 of the family's 1533-position model. The record is from RNAcentral.
GUGGGGAAUCUUGCGCAAUGGGCGAAAGCCUGACGCAGCCAUGCCGCGUGAAUGAUGAAGGUCUUAGGAUUGUAAAAUUCUUUCACCGGGGACGAUAAUGACGGUACCCGGAGAAGAAGCUCCGGCUAACUUCGUGCCAGCAGCCGCGGUAAUACGAACGGGGCUAGCGUUGCUCGGAAUUACUGGGCGUAAAGGGCGCGUAGGCGGACAGCUUAGUCAGAGGUGAAAGCCCAGGGCUCAACCUUGGAAUUGCCUUUGAUACUGGCUGUCUUGAGUUUGGGAGAGGUGAGUGGAACUCCGAGUGUAGAGGUGAAAUUCGUAGAUAUUCGGAAGAACACCAGUGGCGAAGGCGACUCACUGGCCAAAUACUGACGCUGAGGCGCGAAAGCGUGGGGAGCAAACAGGAUUAGAAACCCUAGUAGUCC